ACGGAUUUCCCAUUUAGCAAAAAACUUUGCUUAGCGCUCGGGAUAAAGCUUUGAUUCAGUAGCGGAAGGGCACCCCUUAUUCUAUUAUAAUUUCUUUCAUUGGGACUCCAGGUUAUCUAGUGUCUAUCUUGUCCACGAUCCGGGUAUUCAAUCCCACCGCUGAGAAAACGGUUCCAGAUGAAACGCACAAAAGAGAUAAUCAAUCAAGAUGCGAGCAAGAACCAUGGAACUUUGUCUCAGCUUUCUGUAGAGAUUGAAAAUGUGUAUAGUGAACUCUUCCCCGGGGGGCUCUCCUCCCUAUCCCGAAAAAGGGCUGCCUGAAAAGCAAAAAAGGCCUACUGAUUAGUAUUAGUAACUUCACCGCCUCAUCUCACGUUUCUGGUUUGAGGGACUGAACCCCUAACGAGCAUCGAGAAGCUGUCGCAAGCAAUCAAUCAAAGUAGAUACCCUUCCUUCUUUCUUCCCUGGAUUGACUCGUUUUUUUUCUCUCCUAGCAGACGGAAGACGCAACAACAACAAUUAGCAAUCCGCGUCGUCCCUAUAUGGUAUGGAUAAAGCCAGCUCUGCUCCUGUAAUCCAAUACCUGAGGUAAGUACCUAACUAAGCCAGUAUGGCAUCUAUCCCGACUAAUCCCCUGCGGCCCGGGCCAGGCGCUCCAACCCGACCCGAAAGCGAUAAGUGCGCGGAGGAACCCAGCGGAGCGGAGACUCGAACUUGGGACCUUAAGGAUCACCGGUGAGAGGCGU
RNAcentral lists this long non-coding RNA (746 nucleotides) under Coffea arabica (coffee). RNAcentral describes it as "long non-coding RNA (CARA_LNC002116)". The record is from RNAcentral. Lineage: Eukaryota; Viridiplantae; Streptophyta; Magnoliopsida; Gentianales; Rubiaceae.